AGCGGAGCCCCGGCCGGGCUCUCCGCCCUCCUCCCGGUGCUCUGGCCGCCGGGGAGAGUGGAGCCCCGGCCGGGCUCUCCGCCCUCCUCCCAGCGCUCUGGCCCUAGGUGCUGGUGGCCUGCAAUAGACAGGAGGGCAGACUAGAUGAACUGGCGGUCCUGACUGGCCUUAAACUCUGACACAUAAUUUAUUCCCAGAAGCCUAUUUAUACUAAUAAGUGUGUUCAUACAUUAUCAGCAGCACCACCAAUGCCAGGAUUCCUGGACUGUUACACACAUAGUCUAAAACAGCCAAAAAAACGAAGAAAUAAAUAUUGCUUACAGAUAGUGUCCAAAAACCAUGUUUCAUUCAUUCCUGUGUUAAUGGUACUAAUAACACUAUAUUAAAAAAGAAAGAAUUUUUAAAAUUCAUCCCAACUAUAUUUAUUCUCCAUUUCUUUUUGCAGUCAUCUCAGCUAGGAUACUGAACAUCUAUUAAGCCAGUUUGGCUUUCUCAUUUUCUAGUGCUGCUAGUGUUUUGGUUUCAUUUACUGCAGAGUGUGGUGUAUUGAAAUCCACGUCAAAAUUGUGAUCUACCACUUUAAAUUCUCUGGGGUUUUUCUGGCUGUACUUGUAGAUGAGGGCUCUGUAGGGAAGAGUCUGAUCAGAGUCAGUCUGCGGACAGAUAAUUUAGAAAGAGCUUCUGUUUUUUAAGGGAGUAGCCUGCUUUGUGUCUCUAGUUUUUGGUUCUGAGCCCUUAUCCAAGCCGGAACUCUUUAGGAACUCUUCCUUGGCAGGCUCCACCAUUGAAAUGGUCUGUAACGUGACCGUAGGUAGGGUGGAUUCCUAUCAGUGGAAAAAGGACCAUAAGCCUCUCCCUAGGUCUGAUCACUACCAACUCUCUUGGAAUAACAGUGUACUUCUCAUACUGAAUGCAAUACAGGCUGAUAGUGGCUGUUACUCCUGCAAAGUUACCAAUGAAGUUAGUGAGAACGAAACCUCCCUGGAAUUGACCAUUAGUGAUUCUUCAGCUGUGGUUUCAAACGGAGUUGCUGUCAUAACUGCUGUCGUAAUUCUAGUAAUAGCAGAUGGGAACUUAUACAGUGAAUAAAAACUCUGCCGUGACUUCAUCUGGAUGAACAAUCCCAAUUUUCAAAGGACAUAAUGGAACAGAAGUGAAUUAUAUGGUUUGCUUCUGCCCAGCAACAACCACUUCAUAAGGCUUAAGACAGUCAUCAGACCUCUUACAAGUCACAAAUUACAAAUCAGUGUUCUAUGUCAGAAAAUGCAUCUGAAAUCAUCCAUCUUGUGGUUUUUGGUUCUUUGACACGGAGUUGCCAAUUGCCCAUCCAUGAACUAUACUAGCACUCAGAACUAAUUUUGGAAAAUGCCUCUCCAGGAAAGAGGAGAGAGAGAGAGCUGCAAUUGCACAAUGGCAUCUGAAAAUUAUAACUCAGCAUUUCAAGUUAUGUAGAAACAUAUUGCGUCUAAAUUUAAACAAACAAGCAACAAAAUGCGCGAAACAAUAGACCUAUAAGGUAGAGUGUUUAAAAGGACAGGUUGUUUCCUAUAGAGCAGGGGUGUCAAACUCAUAUUGGGGAGAGGGCUAAAGUCUAUUUUUAGUUGUGAUCUAUGAAGCAGGGUAUAAAUACAGAUCUCUAUGCAGUACUUCUCUGGAUCCAUAGUAGGAACUUCCCUUAUGUUAAUAGUAAGUCUGCCUAAAGGACAAAGAUAAAUAUGGCUUUUAGUAAACGCCAGUGCCUUAUUGUUGAAUUCACUCUGUAGAAAAAUAUGCUAACUUUUCAGACCAUGGCUAUUUUUGCCUUUUGUUUCUCCUCCUUCCCCGUCCUCCUUUCCCUGUCUUUAUGGCUUGUUUACAUGGAAAAAUUGACCAGAAUAAUUAUUGUGGAAUAAACUUAUCUGCAAUAGCUCCUCAUGUGGACACUGGAAUUUAAAUAUUUUGGAAUUUAUUCUGGAAUAAUUAGUGCAAUUUGAACACGUAAAUCAUAUUAUUCCAGAAUAAUUAUAUCCUAAAAUAGUGUCCACCUUGGGAGCGAUUCUGGUCUGUUUCCCUAAGCCUCUCUUUUCCUUCUUGCAGCAUCUCCCAAUUUCCCUCUUGUGGGCUUGACUCCCACUUUUUUCACCACCCAAUCUGUGAAACUGAGCACUGACAGAAGCAGUGUGUGCCCACUGUAACUCAAGCUUGUCUCUCUCACCAUCAGAAGUUGGUCUAAUAAAAUAUAUUACCUCACCCACCCUGUCUCUCUAAUAUCCCGGGGCUGACACAGCUACAACUACACUGCAUACAGUGCCUGCUUUGCUGUGUCCCCUUUCCUUUUGCAUUUGCCAUCCUUUUGCUGAAAGGUGUUAAUGGUUGCCAUAGGUAGAGUCUUAGAUCCGAAGACAAAUCACAGACCUCAUUCAGGACCAUGGGGGUGCCAAGCACUCUCUUCCUGGCUCAACUGAAGGAACAAUCCAGCUCCUUUUAUGUAGUAAAAACAGCUGUGGGCUGUACCAUCAACAAUUUUUAAAAUGUAUUUGUAAUAAAAAUCUAGUAACUAAAACGGCA
Molecule: non-coding RNA, 2547 nt
Organism: Chrysemys picta bellii (western painted turtle)
Lineage: Eukaryota; Metazoa; Chordata; Testudines; Emydidae
Source: RefSeq, a predicted model, not a curated record